RNAcentral lists this small nuclear RNA (102 nucleotides) under Nannospalax galili (Upper Galilee mountains blind mole rat). Lineage: Eukaryota; Metazoa; Chordata; Mammalia; Rodentia; Spalacidae. The record is from RNAcentral.
GUGCUCACUUCAGCAACACAUAUGCUAAAACUGGAACAAUACAAAGAAGGUUAGCAUGGCCCUUGUGCCAGGAUGACAUGCAAAUUCAUUAAACAUUCUAUU